RNAcentral lists this ribosomal RNA (401 nucleotides) under Pseudoduganella plicata. RNAcentral's name for it is "bacterial SSU rRNA". It matches the Rfam family "Bacterial small subunit ribosomal RNA", at positions 64 to 467 of the family's 1533-position model. The record is from RNAcentral. Lineage: Bacteria; Pseudomonadati; Pseudomonadota; Betaproteobacteria; Burkholderiales; Oxalobacteraceae.
GAACGGUCACAGGGAGCUUGCUCCGCUGACGAGUGGCGAACGGGUGAGUAAUAUAUCGGAACGUACCCAAGAGUGGGGGAUAACGUAGCGAAAGUUACGCUAAUACCGCAUACGAUCCAAGGAUGAAAGCAGGGGACCGCAAGGCCUUGUGCUCCUGGAGCGGCCGAUAUCUGAUUAGCUAGUUGGUAGGGUAAAGGCCUACCAAGGCAUCGAUCAGUAGCUGGUCUGAGAGGACGACCAGCCACACUGGAACUGAGACACGGUCCAGACUCCUACGGGAGGCAGCAGUGGGGAAUUUUGGACAAUGGGCGCAAGCCUGAUCCAGCAAUGCCGCGUGAGUGAAGAAGGCCUUCGGGUUGUAAAGCUCUUUUGUCAGGGAAGAAACGGGUGCGGCUAAUAUC